Molecule: ribosomal RNA, 200 nt
Filed under: uncultured bacterium
Lineage: Bacteria
Description: partial 16S ribosomal RNA
Rfam family: Bacterial small subunit ribosomal RNA
Source: RNAcentral
AUUGAACGCUGGCGGCAGGCCUAACACAUGCAAGUCGAGCGGGGUUUUCGGACCUAGCGGCGGACGGGUGAGUAAUGCGUAGGAAGCUGCCCGAUAGAGGGGGAUACCAGUUGGAAACGACUGUUAAUACCGCAUAAUGUCUACGGACCAAAGUGUGGGACCUUCGGCCACAUGCUAUCGGAUGCGCCUACGUGGGAUUA